Molecule: ribosomal RNA, 519 nt
Filed under: uncultured eukaryote
Lineage: Eukaryota
Description: SSU rRNA
Rfam family: Eukaryotic small subunit ribosomal RNA
Source: RNAcentral
AGGGCACCACCAGGAGUGGAGCCUGCGGCUUAAUUUGACUCAACACGGGAAAACUCACCCGGCCCGGACACUGGAAGGAUUGACAGAUUGAGAGCUCUUUCUUGAUUCAGUGGGUGGUGGUGCAUGGCCGUUCUUAGUUGGUGGAGUGAUUUGUCUGGUUAAUUCCGAUAACGAACGAGACUCUAGCCUACUAAAUAGAUCGUCGGCUUACAAACGCCGGCGAGACUUCUUAGAGGGACAGGCGGUGAUUCAACCGCACGAAACAGAGCAAUAACAGGUCUGUGAUGCCCUUAGAUGUCCGGGGCCGCACGCGCGCUACACUGAAGUGAUCAGCGUGCUUUUUCAACCUACUCUGUCAAGAGUGGGGAACCCAAUGAACCUUCUUCGUGAUUGGGAUAGGGGAUUGUAAUUAUUCCCCUUGAACGAGGAGUUCCCAGUAAGCGCGAGUCAUAAGCUCGCGUUGAUUACGUCCCUGCCCUUUGUACACACCGCCCGUCGCUACUACCGAUUGAAUGUUUU